GACGCAGCGACGCCGCGUGAGGGAUGACGGCCUUCGGGUUGUAAACCUCUUUCAGCGCCGACGAAGGGUUUCUGACGGUAGGCGCAGAAGAAGCACCGGCUAACUACGUGCCAGCAGCCGCGGUAAUACGUAGGGUGCGAGCGUUGUCCGGAAUUAUUGGGCGUAAAGAGCUCGUAGGCGGUUUGUCGCGCCGGAUGUGAAAACCCGAGGCUCAACUUCGGGCUGGCAUCCGGGACGGGCAGACUGGAGUUCGGCAGGGGAGACUGGAAUUCCUGGUGUAGCGGUGAAAUGCGCAGAUAUCAGGAGGAACACCGGUGGCGAAGGCGGGUCUCUGGGCCGAUACUGACGCUGAGGAGCGAAAGCGUGGGGAGCGAACAGGAUUAGAUACCCUGGUAGUCCACGCCGUAAACGUUGGGCGCUAGGUGUGGGGGGCAUUCCACGUCCUCUGCGCCGCAGCUAACGCAUUAAGCGCCCCGCCUGGGGAGUAC
RNAcentral lists this ribosomal RNA (488 nucleotides) under uncultured bacterium. Its description in RNAcentral is "bacterial SSU rRNA". It matches the Rfam family "Bacterial small subunit ribosomal RNA", at positions 385 to 883 of the family's 1533-position model. The record is from RNAcentral.